UUAGUUCCAUACGACUGGCGGAAACUAUAUGAAAAUCAUAUAGAGUGAGAGAACUCACAGGGAGUGUGGAUUUGUAUGAAUUGCCGACCGCCUGGGCGACCGUU
Molecule: non-coding RNA, 104 nt
Filed under: Clostridium sp.
Lineage: Bacteria; Bacillati; Bacillota; Clostridia; Eubacteriales; Clostridiaceae
Also listed under: 1 other name
Description: ZTP sequence
Rfam family: ZMP/ZTP riboswitch aptamer (pfl RNA motif)
About the family: Previously known as pfl RNA. ZMP is also known as AICAR.
Source: RNAcentral